GACGAACGCUGGCGGCGUGCUUAACACAUGCAAGUCGAACGCUGAAGCUCAGCUUGCUGGGUGGAUGAGUGGCGAACGGGUGAGUAACACGUGAGUAACCUGCCCUCUUCUUUGGGAUAACGCCCGGAAACGGGUGCUAAUACUGGAUAUUCACUGAUUCUCGCAUGGGGGUUGGUGGAAAGGUUUUUUCUGGUGGGGGAUGGGCUCGCGGCCUAUCAGCUUGUUGGUGGGGUGAUGGCCUACCAAGGCUUUGACGGGUAGCCGGCCUGAGAGGGUGACCGGUCACAUUGGGACUGAGAUACGGCCCAGACUCCUACGGGAGGCAGCAGUGGGGAAUAUUGCACAAUGGGCGAAAGCCUGAUGCAGCGACGCCGCGUGAGGGAUGGAGGCCUUCGGGUUGUAAACCUCUUUCGCUCAUGGUCAAGCCGCAGCGUGGGGUUGUGGUGAGGGUAGUGGGUAAAGAAGCGCCGGCUAACUACGUG
Molecule: ribosomal RNA, 482 nt
Filed under: uncultured bacterium
Lineage: Bacteria
Description: partial 16S ribosomal RNA
Rfam family: Bacterial small subunit ribosomal RNA
Source: RNAcentral